GAGCUAACGCGUUAAGUAGACCGCCUGGGGAGUACGGUCGCAAGAUUAAAACUCAAAUGAAUUGACGGGGGCCCGCACAAGCGGUGGAGCAUGUGGUUUAAUUCGAUGCAACGCGAAGAACCUUACCUACUCUUGACAUCCAGAGAACUUUCCAGAGAUGGAUUGGUGCCUUCGGGAACUCUGAGACAGGUGCUGCAUGGCUGUCGUCAGCUCGUGUUGUGAAAUGUUGGGUUAAGUCCCGCAACGAGCGCAACCCUUAUCCUUGUUUGCCAGCGAGUAAUGUCGGGAACUCCAGGGAGACUGCCGGUGAUAAACCGGAGGAAGGUGGGGACGACGUCAAGUCAUCAUGGCCCUUACGAGUAGGGCUACACACGUGCUACAAUGGCGCAUACAGAGGGCAGCAAGCUAGCGAUAGUGAGCGAAUCCCAAAAAGUGCGUCGUAGUCCGGAUUGGAGUCUGCAACUCGACUCCAUGAAGUCGGAAUCGCUAGUAAUCG
Molecule: ribosomal RNA, 496 nt
Filed under: Vibrio sp.
Lineage: Bacteria; Pseudomonadati; Pseudomonadota; Gammaproteobacteria; Vibrionales; Vibrionaceae
Description: bacterial SSU rRNA
Rfam family: Bacterial small subunit ribosomal RNA
Source: RNAcentral